CUCUCUGCGCUGCGGGUAGUUGGUUUGGUCACCUCACGUCAGUUUGCAUCCUACUGUGACAGGAGUAAAUGCUUUUCUGAAAAGAUUCUUAGCAGUAACAGAGGUCUCCAGGUGCAUUACAGAAGUUUAAAAUCACAAAUCACACAGUGUGUCCCAUCUCGGUAUACUGGAAAGAAUGAAAAAUUAUCUAGCCAACCGUAACAUCUAGAGGGCAAUCUCAUACUCCAGCAGUGUGACUAUAAAUCUAGCAGUCAGAACGGUUCUGGCUGUGUAAAUUGCAUUGUUUUAAAGUAAAGGGGCUUAAGGAAGCUAUGAAA
Cygnus atratus (black swan) is the source of this 317-nucleotide long non-coding RNA. RefSeq lists it as uncharacterized. The transcript is spliced from 2 exons. The record is from RefSeq and is a predicted model, not a curated record. NCBI's taxonomy places the organism in Eukaryota, Metazoa, Chordata, Aves, Anseriformes, Anatidae.